UACGAAGGGGGCUAGCGUUGCUCGGAAUGACUGGGCGUAAAGGGCGCGUAGGCGGCUUGCACCGUCAGAUGUGAAAUUCCUGGGCUUAACCUGGGGGCUGCAUUUGAUACGUGUGGGCUUGAGUGCGGAAGAGGGUCGUGGAAUUCCCAGUGUAGAGGUGAAAUUCGUAGAUAUCUGGAGGAACACCGGUGGCGAAGGCGGCAUCCUGGACCAACACUGACGCUGAGUGAGCGAAAGCCAGGGGAGCAAACGGG
RNAcentral lists this ribosomal RNA (254 nucleotides) under uncultured bacterium. RNAcentral's name for it is "partial 16S ribosomal RNA". It matches the Rfam family "Bacterial small subunit ribosomal RNA", at positions 524 to 776 of the family's 1533-position model. The record is from RNAcentral.